This is a non-coding RNA of Myotis lucifugus (little brown bat), 72 nucleotides long. The record is from Rfam. NCBI's taxonomy places the organism in Eukaryota, Metazoa, Chordata, Mammalia, Chiroptera, Vespertilionidae.
GGCAGUUCUUGGGUGACACAUCCCGAAAUCGGGCUCCCUCCUCUAUGGUUCCGGUGUCACCCGAGAACUGUA